Crotalus tigris (Tiger rattlesnake) is the source of this 5661-nucleotide long non-coding RNA. RefSeq lists it as uncharacterized. Lineage: Eukaryota; Metazoa; Chordata; Lepidosauria; Squamata; Viperidae. The transcript is spliced from 2 exons. The record is from RefSeq and is a predicted model, not a curated record.
AUCUCAUUCAGUCUGGUGUAUGAUUAACAGGACUGCAGGCUACACUGUUUGCAAAAUAUUUAUUGUUGCAUGAGCAAGAAAUACAUCAGAAGUUUCAGUUCUCAAGCUGAGGCUAUAAAAUCAACAUAUAGAAAACAUUUCCGUACUGCCCAUUCUCAGCUUGGUAAAAGCUGUUAAAAUAAAAGUUUUAAACCAAAUAAAUUAAUUCCAGUUAACUAUCCAGCUGAAUAAAAAAUACAGAUAAUUCAAAUGAAAAAUGCCACAUGAUUAUUAAAAGGUCUUUGCUUGUUUCUGAUAUUUACAAAGAUUUUUUUCCCCUUUGUCUCAUUUUUUGAAAGUACUUUUGAAUCCUCCUCCUUCUCUGUAAGGUUUAAAAAAGAAUAAAAAUGGUUUGGAGUAUAUAACCUAUAUCCCAUAACACAAUGAAUCCCCCCCACACACACACUGACUCACACUUCCAAACUACUCCAGAAAUCUCCCAUUCUCUGUAGGAGACUUGGGCGUGCAGAUAUUUGAAGAGUCAAAGAUGGGAUUCACACAUCCAUUAAGCCAUUGGUUGAUUUACCUUAUUUCGGCUUACUAUAUUCAUUGCUUCCAGAUACUGCUGUUUAGGAAUCAUACUUCACGAUUCAUUGUGACAGACAAAUCCAGCUGAUCUUGCAAUAACAACAACACCUGGCAAAGGCUAAGAGCAGGAAAGUUGAAGAAAGAGAGAGAGGGGCUAAUGCUGGCUGCACAUGACCAAGUCUUAAGAACAAAUGCAUACAAAGCCAGAAUUGAGAAGACAGCAACAGAUAGUAAGUGCCAGCUAUGCAAGAGGUUGAAGAAACAGUGGACCACUGGCUUAGUUGUUGCAAGAAGAUUGCACAGACUAACUACAAAGACUGACAUCACAAAAUAGCAACAAUGGUACAUUGAAAGAUCUGCAAUUUGCUUUCUUCUUGCCAGACUACCUUCAUCCAGAGGCAGAUGGAUACUUCAGGUAUUUCUCUUUGAUGACUGGUCCAUUCAGCUGGAUAGAUUCCACAUCAGAUCUGUUGCUACAAAGAGGGCUUUCAGACUUCCCCUUGUACUGCAAAGCGACAGUAACUUGAAGCGUAAGUUGAACAAGUCCCAACCUGCUGGCAACAGCUUCAUUGCCGUUUAUAUUCCAAACAAUAUUUUGGACCAAAAAAGUGCUUUCUAUAGCUAUUAGCAAAGAUCACAGGGUAAGUAUUUCAGCUGCACAAUUACAGUUCUUUGAAUAAACAGUCCCUUCUUCCCAUACUGUGGGUUUUUGGCUACUUCUAUUUUCAGGUAUAUAUUCAUGUACAGAUCUCACCAUUUUCUAAAAUCCCACUCAGUUCUUGCUUUAGGAAACUGGCUAUGGAGCUGGAUCUAGAAUUCCUUAUAUGUAAACUACAAAACUGUUGUAAACAGGACAACAAAUCCUUCGUGCUAUUCAAUCGCAAGGGAAAAUGAGAGGGAAAAAAAGUGACUCAUUCCCUGUAACUGGAUUAUAUGGUUUGGAACAAAUAUUCUCAAACCCAAAAUCUUAUAGUAACAUCUCCUAGAUCAGUGUUUCCCAAACUUAACAAUUUUAAGGCAUGUGGACUUCAACUCCCAGAAUUCCACAGCCAGCAAUGCUGGCUGUGGAAUUCUGGGAGUUGAAGUCCACAUGCCUUAAAAUUGUUAAGUUUGGGAAACACUGUCCUAGAUUAUAAAAGAAGCAUGGUGGCUCAUGAGGUUAGAAUGCUGGGCUACUGAUCAGCAGGCUCGCGUUCGAGACCCAUUGCUGCUGCAGGAAGGGAUGAGCUCUUGUCACACACUCCAGCUCCUGCUGCCCCAGCAGUUUGAAAGUGGGCGACCACGAGUAGAUUAAUGAUACUACUUCAGUGGGCAACUUCACGGGGAUAUGAAAGGAGACCCCAAAUGCGCAUCCCCUGGGCAAAUAUCACUGGCAAAUCCUUUUGCUAUGGAAGCACCAUGAGAAAAAAAAACUUGGACUCUGUGAAGGAAAUUAGUGCAAUGUUGUUAAGGCAUAUUGUAAUAUAUUAGGGUCAGAUUAAUUACUGUUUGUUGCUGAACCCAAAGUUUGACAUCAUAUAUAGUACAAAAUCACAACUGAUACCAUACAAGACACAAUGGGUGCGUUCACACAACACACUAAGCCAAUAUCAAACAAAUAACUGCUUAACAUGAUAUUAGCCAAUGUUACUUAUUCCUUUGUACUAUGAGCCUAUUCAGCUCAAAAUAGAUUAACACAAACAAAUUGUUAAUUCCGAUGUGAUUGGGUUGCAAUGGGACGAAGGAUGGGAAGACUGGAUGGUGAUCCAUAUACUUUUACACACACACACACGCACACACACACACCUUGCCACAACAAAAACAUAGUGAAAAUAAGAACAAUUAUUACAUCACAAUAUUAUUUCUACUGCACGGGUCCAUGGAUUUUAUAAACUAUUCAGCAGCAGCUACAAGCAAAAAGGUGCUUUUAAGCUAUGAGGGCCCCAAACAGAGUACACACUGUUCUCAUCUAUUUUUAUAAUUUUUGACAAGGCUUGGCCAGUUUCAGCUUGCUAUUCUUCUCAUACUUCCUAGUACUUUUCCACCUAAGUGCUAUCGCAUCAUCCAGUUCACAUGGAAACUGAGUGUUCUGCAGAUUUCACGUUUUGAGAACAGUCUCUUGUUCUGUAAACCAUUAUUGCUAAAUCUUCUUAAAAGUCUUCAUUCUAGUAUUUUUACACAUGCUGCAUAAACUGAAAUCUUCCAGAACAAGUCAUUCUGCCUCUACAUCCUACUCUGAAUGUAUCUCUGAUACAGGUUCAUUUCUACUUUCAUACAAAUACUUGACACAAAAUAUGCUCUCUCUCUUACAUAUACAUAUGUUUAUAAAUGAACCAAAACAGGUAUAAAACAUAUGCACAAUAACUAUAUGGUAAGGCUAAAUAAUAUGGUCACCAAGUAAAUUUGCUUCUGAGAUAUGACUGACUUUCACAUGUUCUGAACAACACUAAUGUCUUUCCAUUUUCAUAGCAUUUUCUGAAAAUUUAAAUCAGCAGUAGGUUGCAUCUCUUUUAUAAAUACUGUCUAUCCACUGCUCAAUUCCAUGUCCCCCCCCCCCAAAUCUAAGAAUUUGUAUCAUUAUCCCACUGCAAUUUGUAUACUCCCUGGGUAAUUCAGAGAUAUUAAACACAGGAGCAACAGAUGGCAGAAAUCUAUUUAGUAUGAAUAUAAUAAAAAUUCCUUUAACAUAGAUCCUUUUAAAAAUUACUCCAUUGCAGUCUCAUACACACAUCAAUACUUAUCAUAUAAUGCUAAGAAAUAAAUUGUGACAAAACACAAUGAACAAAUUCAUGCAAUGUGUUUAGCCAAACAAGCUAUUCUGUGGAUUUAUACAGUAUGUGAAUCAGAAGAUAUUCAUGAUAUACAUCCACAGUGUAUAUCAACAAGGAGCAGCAAAUUGGGUGGGAAAAACUUUAGUAUUGUGACUAGUUAGCUUUUUAAAGAGUUACUUCUUUAUAACAAUGUAUCUAUGUUAAAUAUACUGACUGUUUAAACAUGAUGUAUAAUUUUAAAUGGACAAAUCAGUUUUAAUAAAAUUGUGUUUUUCCCAUCUUGGUUUAAAUCAAGGGAGAAAAUCUAACUGUGUAUUUAAAUAAUAAUAUAUUUAAAUUCAGCUUUUUCAUCACAAGCAGAUCUGUUCCAUUUGACUUCAUUAACCAAACACAUCUAAUGCUGCUCACAAAAACUUAUUAUCUCCACAUGUGGCCUCUUUAUGAUUAUUGGAAUAUCAAACUUUUUUUUAAGAAACUGAAGAAUGGAUGAAAGUAAUCACUCCAACAUACAUCACAAAAAGCAGCUUGUUCAAUAGCGUGCUGUCAAGUGGAAACUGAAAUAAUUUCAAACAUUAUGUUAUUCAGGGCCUCAUGAACAGUAAAUAUAUAUAUAUAAUUAAAGCAUUGCCAGCAGCAACUGAUUAAAAGAAAAUGACAAGUGUAUUCACAUUUCUCACUACCUUCCACUCAUGUAUGCCAAAUAAUUAAAUCACACUAAUUUUCAAAGAGGUAAAUAUGGGAAAAAAGAGCUAUCUUUAACAAUGAAUUAUAGAUUUGGGAAAGAUUUUGAACAAACGACUUUCUACUUGUAACCUGAAUAAGGGAGAAAUGAAUGAACUCUUAUAUAUCAUGUUAUAAAUAAGCAAUCAAUUAUAUAGCUCCUUGUUUGUACCUAAAGGAAGCUGCUUUUUAGUUUGCAAUCUUUUUUUAUUAACCCCAACCCCUGACUCCCAGAAUGAGAUGAAUGCUCAAUUUAGAUUGUAGCAUAAAUUCUUCUUUAUUAAAAAGAAACAGUCCUUGCCCUUAUUUUGUUAAGUGAGAAUCACCCUUUAUAUGAGGUCUGAUGUUCUAACAACUCUAAACUGAAAUAAAUCAUGGCUGUUUCAGACUUUCAUAAAGACAUUUCAUCUCAAGUUUUCUACCAAAUUAAGAAUUUAUGGUGGUUUUACUAGCACUGUGGAACAUUAUUAAUGAACCAUUUAGGCUUUCUAAGGUUUGAGAUAAAAACCAGCCAUUUGAAGUUCUAUAGAGAAUCUCCUCAAAAAAAUCUGCAACUGGUCCAUGCUUUCAAUGACCAUUUGAACUUACAGCGGUACUGAAUGAGUGAUAUUUACAACCAGUCCAAUUGUUGUCAUAUUGUACUUAUUGCCAAUGUAGCAUCUCCAAGGUCAUGCAAUUACAUUUCAGGUGCUUGGCAACUGGUUCACAAUUACAAUAAAACAGCAUCCUGCAUUCAUGUGACUGUCAUUUGGGACCUUCUUGCUGGCAUGAUCGUAUGACUUUGCGCAUUAUGACUGACUUCCUUAGUGUCGAAAUUCUGAUCCCAAUUACUAUUGUUAAGCGAGGACUGCCUGUAAUAAGUCCAAAUCUCUCUUUUGGUAAUUAUUUAUUGGGUAACUCCAGCUUAUUGACUCAAUGCCAAAACAACUUUGCUAAGAUGGGGCAAUUAUUUAAGGCAAAGGUGGAUCAUCUUUUGGUGACUGAAAGCUUUGAGGGAUUAAAAAAAAGCUACAAUGCAAAGAGGGCAAAGGCAAUUUUCUCUUGGGGAAGAAGGGAUCAGGAAAGCUGAUUAAACAAACACUCUCAAAUUUACACAGAAGUUAGAUGUUCCAUCUCAACACAGCAGAAGAUCAUACCACUGAUUUUUAAUCAGAAGUGGCUGUGGAGGUUAUAAAAUAGGAUUAUCCCUGCUCCUAAGUUAAAGUCUGUUGCAAAUGGACAAGAUAUUGAAAUGUUUUUCUAACUGUUUCCGAGACUAUCGGCAUCAAAUCUGAAAACACUAUGAAAAGAAGACUUCAGUAAGAAACAAAGUUUCACCCUAUGUCCUAGGUGACCAGUUAGAUCAAAUAAAGAAAAACCAUAAAUGAUCCCACAAUUUUGGGAGGUCUGAGAGGCACUGCUUUUCUGGGUCAGGGUUAGCACUAUGGAACAGACUCCUCCCUGCUGAUAUUUUGGAGGUUUCUAAGGACAGAGUUAUUGUGGAGAACCUUCUCUUGAUCUUGUCAUGCCACCUUCAUUUUCUAUUUUCAUUGUUUGCAAUUUUCUAUUUGGGUGAUAUUGUUUUACUCUUUAGAGUUGGUAAGUUUUGCUUGAUAUUUUUUAUACUCUAUGUAGGCUGAAGAGU